Molecule: long non-coding RNA, 516 nt
Organism: Eurytemora carolleeae
Lineage: Eukaryota; Metazoa; Arthropoda; Copepoda; Calanoida; Temoridae
Exons: 3
Source: RefSeq, a predicted model, not a curated record
AAUAGUUUUCAGAAGAAUUUUAAAAUGUUUUACGCCUGUUUGUUUCUUUCUGGAUUCAUGAUUUUUACCAAUGGUCAAACUCCAAAUGAUUUAAAUAACAAAAUAUCUUAUUUCCUUCAAGAUCUUACAGGAGCAAAGUUAUCAAAAUCUGUUGAGAGAAAAAGGACUGAGGACUUCCUACAAAUAAACAUAGGGUAAAACUUCUAAAUGAGACAAAAAUCUAGCAAGACAAACAUUAAUGCCUAAUGUAGAAGUCCAGUCACAAAUCGCAAUGCAAGAGACAAGUCAGACAUCUGUGAUUUCAAAUUUAAAAAAAAAUUUAAUUACUAUUGUCCCACUGAGUGAAAGGGUUUACUUUUAUUACAAAAAAAAUAUUAGUAAUAUGUUUAGGUUUUAAUAGAAGCCAUGUCGUCUUUAAAAUCUUAGAUCUAACCCUGCAUUCCUUUAUUAUAAGCAAUCAAAAGUAAAGACAUUUAGACGGAAGAUGAUUGGGUGGGGCUAAGAAAGUGCUACGAG